AGGACGGAGUAGGACUAGAGUCGGGGCGCGACAGCACGUGCCCCAGCCCGGGGCUCCAGCGUCACGUGACAGAGUCCAGAAGCUGCUGCAGGGCAGCCAAAAGGAAGGUUAGGACCCCUUGCUGAGCAGACCAGCUGGGGUGUGCGGAGGCUGGAUCAGGGACCAGAGCCCGAGCCGGAGCCCAGGCGGCAGGUGCUAUACCACUCGGCCGCAGCAGAGUUGCUGAGCACAGUGAUGCACGCCUGUGAAUACCAGCACUAGGGAGGCUGAGGCCAAAGGAUUGCCACAGGUUCAAGGCCAGCCUGCUUUGUGAUUUCAAGACCAGCCUGAACUACAUAGCAAGAUCCUGUCUCCAAGAAAACAAAAACAACAACAACAAAAACCCACAAAGCUGGCCAACUAUGACUCUAGGAUAAAUAAGACUGUCUCAUUUGAGAACCUGUAGAAGCCAGGUGUGUUUCAGGUACAUGUGAUUACCCAUGGCAACUGAGUCACAUAAAAGUUUGCGGUGUCAGGAAUUUAGAUUCCAUACUUACCCAUUUUGGGAGGAACUUUCCCCAGGUUUUGUAGUUCACUGACCAUCUUUCCUGGCACUUCUUAGUGGUAUACAGAAUCGUCUCAAGUUCGAGGCUGUUUACAUAGUGAAUUCAAGGCCAGCCUAAACUGCAUAGUAACAUCGUUACAAAAGAGAGAGAUUAUCUUCAAAUGAACUUGUCUUUUUUUUUUUUAAUUGGUACCAGUGAUCAAACUCAUGACCAUGUGCUUAUAAGGCAGGUGCUUAUGCUGCUGAACUAAAUCCCCAGCCCAUCUUCUUCAAAUGAACUUAAUCUAGAACCCAAACCCAGCUCUACUUGUAGGAUAGGCAUGACCAGUUCAGCUUAUGUAUCAGGCAAGAACCUGGGUUCAAUUCCUGCCAAGCAUGGCAAAAUCAAUUAUGAUCUCCCAAAUAUAUUCCCAGCAGAUUUAAAGCCCCUUCACUAGUUUUUCACUGACUUAACGUGGAUGCAUAAACUAGCACUACACUGAUUGGCAAGGUCUUCCCAUCAUGUUAAAGAACCAAUCCCUCCUUGUAAACUCUUUCAAUUAACUUUAUUGAAUAGCCAAAGUGAUAAGUUAGCACGGAUCAAACAACUGUUUGCAUGGGUUAAAAAUGACUUUUUUUUACAGGAAUAAACAGCGAAAAUUACAAACCGUAAAAAGGAAGAAAAGUCUUGUCUCAUUUCAGAGAACAAGAUUGAACACAGCACACUGGAGAUCAAUACAUAUUUGAAUUUGAGAACAAGAAUUUAAUGUUACAAUAUUAUACACUACUUUACAAAAUUAAAUUUUCUAUGUAAGGAUUAUAUUUGUAAUAGUUAAUAAAAUCUUGAAAUCACAUUUGGUGGUCCCCUAGACAAUAACUGUUAUGCAUCUUUCAUUAGAAGAAAUAAAUCUUUUACUCUAAUUAUUGCAAAACAGUCUACGAGACUCAAUACAUAUAUUAAAUUAAGAACAAUGAGAAAAUAUAUGCAAACUAAAAUAAAUGGUACUGGUUGGGUGAAUAUUAGUAUGUCAAACUUACAGAAAUGUAUUUUAAAAAUUCUAUAAAUUAGAAAAAUAGAGUACUUUUUACGGUAGAAUUGCCAUGCUCAGAUUUAUAUAUCAAGAUUGCCCUUGUCCGUUACUUUAGUAGUUGUAGAUCUGUAGAAAAUUCAAAGAUCUUUCAUAGUUUACAACUACAAUAAAAAAAAAUAUGGCAUAGUGUAAAUAUUAGUUGCUUUACAUCAAAAAGUAACACAGGUGAUGAUAGGAGGCGUCCUACUACCAAAAAAAAAAAAAAAUCAAA
This is a long non-coding RNA of Cavia porcellus (domestic guinea pig), 1825 nucleotides long. RefSeq lists it as uncharacterized. The transcript is spliced from 2 exons. NCBI's taxonomy places the organism in Eukaryota, Metazoa, Chordata, Mammalia, Rodentia, Caviidae. The record is from RefSeq and is a predicted model, not a curated record.